UUGGAGGGCAAGUCUGGUGCCAGCAGCCGCGGUAAUUCCAGCUCCAAUAGCGUAUAUUAAAGUUGUUGCAGUUAAAAAGCUCGUAGUUGAACUUCGGGGUUUACCCAUUGGUCAGGCUUAAUUGUCUGUACUGGUGAGAUAAAUCUCUACCUUCUGAGGAACUUUCAUGUCAUUAAUUUGGUGUGAUUGGAAAUCAGGACUGUUACUUUGAAAAAAUUAGAGUGUUUAAAGCAGGCUAACGUCUGAAUACAUUAGCAUGGAAUAAUGAAAUAGGACGGACUGAUUCUAUUUCGUUGGUUUCUAGGAUCACCGUAAUGAUUAAUAGGGACAGUCGGGGGCAUCAGUAUUCAAUUGUCAGAGGUGAAAUUCUUGGAUUUAUUGAAGACUAACUACUGCGAAAGCAUUUGCCAAGGAUGUUUUCAUUAAUCAGUGAACGAAAGUUAGGGGAUCGAAGACGAUCAGAUACCGUCGUAGUCUUAACCAUAAACUAUGCCGACUAGGGAUCGGACGAAGUUAAUUUUAUAAUGACGCGUUCGGCACCUUACGGGAAACCAAAG
RNAcentral lists this ribosomal RNA (557 nucleotides) under uncultured Glomus. RNAcentral describes it as "SSU rRNA". It matches the Rfam family "Eukaryotic small subunit ribosomal RNA", at positions 548 to 1103 of the family's 1831-position model. The record is from RNAcentral. Lineage: Eukaryota; Fungi; Glomeromycota; Glomeromycetes; Glomerales; Glomeraceae.